This 253-nucleotide ribosomal RNA is filed under the name uncultured bacterium. RNAcentral describes it as "partial 16S ribosomal RNA". It matches the Rfam family "Bacterial small subunit ribosomal RNA", at positions 524 to 776 of the family's 1533-position model. The record is from RNAcentral.
UACGUAGGGGGCUAGCGUUGUCCGGAAUUAUUGGGCGUAAAGAGCGUGUAGGCGGUCCGGUAAGUCGGCUGUGAAAGUCCAGGGCUCAACCCUGGGAUGCCGGUCGAUACUGCCGGACUAGAGUUCGGAAGAGGCGAGUGGAAUUCCCGGUGUAGCGGUGAAAUGCGCAGAUAUCGGGAGGAACACCUAUGGCGAAGGCAGCUCGCUGGGACGUUACUGACACUGAGGCGCGAAAGCUAGGGGAGCAAACAGG